GUGGGAGGGGGCUUGCCCCCGAUAGCGGUGUGCCAGUCGACAUAUCUGCAAACUGACAGUCCGCUAUCGGGGGCAAGCCCCCUCCCAC
Molecule: unclassified non-coding RNA, 88 nt
Filed under: Pseudomonas marginalis
Lineage: Bacteria; Pseudomonadati; Pseudomonadota; Gammaproteobacteria; Pseudomonadales; Pseudomonadaceae
Source: RNAcentral